RNAcentral lists this unclassified non-coding RNA (335 nucleotides) under soil metagenome. RNAcentral describes it as "partial contains 5.8S ribosomal RNA, internal transcribed spacer 2, and large subunit ribosomal RNA". The stretch from base 1 to 120 matches the Rfam family "5.8S ribosomal RNA", at positions 35 to 154 of the family's 154-position model. The record is from RNAcentral.
GAUGAAGAACGUAGCGAAAUGCGAUAAGUAAUGUGAAUUGCAGAAUUCAGUGAAUCAUCGAAUCUUUGAACGCACAUUGCGCCCGCCAGUAUUCUGGCGGGCAUGCCUGUUCGAGCGUCAUUUCAACCAUCAAGCCCCAGGCUUGUGUUGGGGACCUGCGGCUGCCGCAGGCCCUGAAAACCAGUGGCGGGCUCGCUAGUCACACCGAGCGUAGUAGCAUACACAUCGCUCAGGGCGUGCUGCGGGUUCCGGCCGUUAAACCCCUUUUUUACCCAAGGUUGACCUCGGAUCAGGUAGGAAGACCCGCUGAACUUAAGCAUAUCAAUAGCGGAGGA